GAUCUUUAUAUAAUAAUAAUUUAUAUAAAAAUUAGUUAAUUUAUUUUUUUUUAAUUUGUUUUAUAUUAUAUUGGGGUAAUAAUAAAAUUUUAGUAAUUUUUAUUUAUUAAAUUCAAUUAUAAUUGAUUUUUUGAUCCAGUAUUAUUGAUUAUAAGAUAAAGUUACCUUAGGGAUAACAGCGUAAUGAUUUUUGAGAGUUCUUAUCAAUAAAAUAGUUUGU
This 220-nucleotide ribosomal RNA is filed under the name Psathyromyia lutziana. RNAcentral describes it as "partial 16S ribosomal RNA". Lineage: Eukaryota; Metazoa; Arthropoda; Insecta; Diptera; Psychodidae. The record is from RNAcentral.